CUUUUGUAUGCACUGUGCAUGCAUCAUGUCAGAAGGUUUGAAAAUCUGAAGGAUUAGUCUGGACAGAACAUUUUCUUUUUCUGAAAGAAAUGGUUGACUUCCAGUCCUGUCUCUCUGCUUCAUUGAACAGGAGAGCCUGUUAUGUUUGACUGCAUCUAUUUUGAAGUUUCAAAUGGUCACGGCCUAUAAGGUAGAGUGGCAAAAGGCCAUCAAUCAACCUAAAGAAGUACUCAGCCCACGGGUCUGGUCUUGUGUUGCCUUGCAUUUGGGAAGAGACAACACACCUACACGACAUUAACAAACUGCAGAAUCAAAAGCCAAAUCUCCCAGCAUUUGGAGAACAGUGAUGGAUCGCCCAGCGCUAUGCCACUUACAUGGGGAAGAUGUGUCUUACUUUCCAAAGAAACUUUAGUUUGCCAACUGCUCUAUACCUUCCUUUAGGAAACUAGAACUUGUCUGUUUGGUUAAUGAUUACAGAUUCAAAGGAAUUCAUUUUUUAAAGCGAAAUUCAUGACUCAUUGUUUGAAUUAACACUCCUCCACCCCAGCCCACC
Molecule: long non-coding RNA, 553 nt
Filed under: Canis lupus familiaris (dog)
Lineage: Eukaryota; Metazoa; Chordata; Mammalia; Carnivora; Canidae
Description: lncRNA (ENSCAFG00000057900.1, ENSCAFG00845008919.1)
Source: RNAcentral